This is a small nucleolar RNA of Psammomys obesus (fat sand rat), 130 nucleotides long. RefSeq annotates it as small nucleolar RNA SNORA17. The record is from RefSeq and is a predicted model, not a curated record. Lineage: Eukaryota; Metazoa; Chordata; Mammalia; Rodentia; Muridae. The transcript has a single exon.
ACUGACCCUAGAGACAUUACAGGUGUGGCUGCUGUGUCACAUGUGUCAAUAAGUGGCAGAGAGAAGAGAGAGCGUGUCUAUUCUCAGUGUUCCGAGCUAUGAAUAUCUGAAGGAUUAGUAGCCUAACACU